This is a non-coding RNA of Triticum urartu, 302 nucleotides long. Lineage: Eukaryota; Viridiplantae; Streptophyta; Magnoliopsida; Poales; Poaceae. The record is from RefSeq and is a predicted model, not a curated record.
CGUCGGGUCGGCCGAGCUCUUGGUGGACGUCAGCCGGUCGCUGAACAGCACGCACCGGGCUCGCCCGAUCGUGUGGGCACCUGUCGGUUUUCACGUUCAGAAUUAUUAUCUGAAUUUUUGACGUUCAGAAUUUAGGUAGUUAGUUUUGUGACAACUGUUACCUGACAAGACCACGACGUCUUUCGUGUCGAGGCCGACAUCGGCAAACUUCUGUACGAUGGAGCUGAUCGGUUCGAACGGCGAGGGCAGGCCGUUGUCAGCUCCUGACUGAUUCGCCUUCAGACCGUCCCUUCUCCCCAGAA